Molecule: non-coding RNA, 768 nt
Organism: Ictidomys tridecemlineatus (thirteen-lined ground squirrel)
Lineage: Eukaryota; Metazoa; Chordata; Mammalia; Rodentia; Sciuridae
Source: RefSeq, a predicted model, not a curated record
ACCCUGUCCCCUCAGAGUCUUCAGCCCUGGGCUUCUCUUAGGAGCACAACAUGAAGUGCUGGGGAGAGAGAGCAAGAUGAGAAGGCAGGUUGUCCACGACCUCCACCCGUUUCUGGCAUGGUAGGCAGGUGGGCCAGAAGAUGAGGCGUGCGGCAGCAGUGAGAGUCAGGACCACAUUCACAGAAGACAGACAGAUCAGCUUCUCUUUGGGAGUUGAAGAAGGAUUGAGGAAGGGACAUUUCAUAGGAUUUGGAAGGAGGAAGAGGAACCUGGCAGCCUGCUCAAGGUUGUAGAGAUGGGAAGAAGCAGAGGCAAACUCCAACUCACAGGCAUGAUUCUACAAUCAGCUCCUGGAGUUAAAUAUGUGUUUGGCCACCCAUUGAACCAUCUCCCUCUGUCCAUCUCCCAAGGCAAUCCACUGGGCCAGCAAGCAACCUCUUCCACCAGUGAAACUUCAUGAACAUCAAGGUCAAGCCAGCUUCCUCUGGUUGAACUCCAGAACACAUGUCAGGCCUGAUCCAAUAUCUAGCCCCUGUGUUCCUUGUCACUGGGUGAAGAGGAACCUAUUAUUGGAUUUAAUUAAUUAUUUGGUUUAUUUAUUUUGAAGCAAUCCAUAUUGUCUUAUUUAGAUGCAUCCAUAGUGCCAACAGAGAUUUUCAACUUUUCCUCUCUUACCAGACUCUGGAGAUGUGAUAAUGCAAUAUUUCAAAAGACUGUCAGAAUAACUGAUUAGAAACUUUGCUGAUUAAAGAAAUGUUUGAUAAAAUA